This 474-nucleotide long non-coding RNA is filed under the name Nicotiana benthamiana. Its description in RNAcentral is "long non-coding RNA (NBEN_LNC005852)". Lineage: Eukaryota; Viridiplantae; Streptophyta; Magnoliopsida; Solanales; Solanaceae. The record is from RNAcentral.
UGUUUUCCCUUUAAGACUGCAUCAUCUUCUGUUCAUCCUUCUCUUCAUCAUUUCCUUCUGUUCCACCUGUAGAACUUUCCACUUAUCCAGACCCUUCCAUACCUAUCUCCUCUCCUCUUCCUCCUACAUCUGUUCCAGAACCUCCUUAUAUUGCUCCAGAUUCUACUGAUCCAGCUCCCAUUCAUUCUUUCAAUCCUGAUAUCUCUCCUCCUGCCUUGGCCUCUUCCUCAUCUAUUCCUGCUCCCAGAAAAUCUGAAAGACAGCAUAAUCCUCCCUCUUACCUUAAGGAUUAUGUCUGUCAACUUCCUGCAUUUUCUGGAUCCCUAUUCCUGCUCCCAGAAAAUCUGAAAGACAUCAUAAUCCUCCCUCUUACCUUAAGGAUUAUGCCUGUCAACUUCCUGCAUUUUCUGGAUCCUCUUCCUCUUCUUUGGAAGCUUAACCGCUAUAUUACUCUCAAGAUGCAUCUGUUCCAGC